UCCCAUGUGGCUCAGCAGUAAAGAAUCUGCCUGUCAAUCAGGAGACCCAGGUUAGAUUCUUGGCUUGGGAA
This is a non-coding RNA of Bos taurus (domestic cattle), 71 nucleotides long. The record is from Rfam. NCBI's taxonomy places the organism in Eukaryota, Metazoa, Chordata, Mammalia, Artiodactyla, Bovidae.